Molecule: ribosomal RNA, 630 nt
Filed under: Salmonella enterica subsp. enterica serovar Kentucky
Lineage: Bacteria; Pseudomonadati; Pseudomonadota; Gammaproteobacteria; Enterobacterales; Enterobacteriaceae
Description: bacterial SSU rRNA
Rfam family: Bacterial small subunit ribosomal RNA
Source: RNAcentral
AAAUUGAAGAGUUUGAUCAUGGCUCAGAUUGAACGCUGGCGGCAGGCCUAACACAUGCAAGUCGAACGGUAACAGGAAGCAGCUUGCUGCUUCGCUGACGAGUGGCGGACGGGUGAGUAAUGUCUGGGAAACUGCCUGAUGGAGGGGGAUAACUACUGGAAACGGUGGCUAAUACCGCAUAACGUCGCAAGACCAAAGAGGGGGACCUUCGGGCCUCUUGCCAUCAGAUGUGCCCAGAUGGGAUUAGCUGGUUGGUGAGGUAACGGCUCACCAAGGCGACGAUCCCUAGCUGGUCUGAGAGGAUGACCAGCCACACUGGAACUGAGACACGGUCCAGACUCCUACGGGAGGCAGCAGUGGGGAAUAUUGCACAAUGGGCGCAAGCCUGAUGCAGCCAUGCCGCGUGUAUGAAGAAGGCCUUCGGGUUGUAAAGUACUUUCAGCGGGGAGGAAGGUGUUGUGGUUAAUAACUGCAGCAAUUGACGUUACCCGCAGAAGAAGCACCGGCUAACUCCGUGCCAGCAGCCGCGGUAAUACGGAGGGUGCAAGCGUUAAUCGGAAUUACUGGGCGUAAAGCGCACGCAGGCGGUCUGUCAAGUCGGAUGUGAAAUCCCCGGGCUCAACCUGGGAA